RNAcentral lists this ribosomal RNA (495 nucleotides) under uncultured bacterium. Its description in RNAcentral is "partial 16S ribosomal RNA". It matches the Rfam family "Bacterial small subunit ribosomal RNA", at positions 28 to 507 of the family's 1533-position model. The record is from RNAcentral.
GACGAACGCUGGCGGCGUGCCUAAUACAUGCAAGUAGAACGCUGAAGGAGGAGCUUGCUUCUCCGGAUGAGUUGCGAACGGGUGAGUAACGCGUAGGUAACCUGCCUGGUAGCGGGGGAUAACUAUUGGAAACGAUAGCUAAUACCGCAUAAGAGUAGAUGUCGCAUGACAUUUGCUUAAAAGGUGCAACUGCACCACUACCAGAUGGACCUGCGUUGUAUUAGCUAGUUGGUGAGGUAACGGCUCACCGAGGCAACGAUACAUAGCCGACCUGAGAGGGUGAUCGGCCACACUGGGACUGAGACACGGCCCAGACUCCUACGGGAGGCAGCAGUAGGGAAUCUUCGGCAAUGGACGGAAGUCUGACCGAGCAACGCCGCGUGAGUGAAGAAGGUUUUCGGAUCGUAAAGCUCUGUUGUAAGAGAAGAACGAGUGUGAGAGUGGAAAGUUCACACUGUGACGGUAUCUUACCAGAAAGGGACGGCUAACUACGUG